RNAcentral lists this ribosomal RNA (595 nucleotides) under uncultured fungus. RNAcentral describes it as "eukaryotic LSU rRNA". The stretch from base 227 to 380 matches the Rfam family "5.8S ribosomal RNA". Lineage: Eukaryota; Fungi. The record is from RNAcentral.
UUCGGUCAUUUAGAGGAAGUAAAAGUCGUAACAAGGUCUCCAUUGGUGAACCAGCGGAGGGAUCAUUACAGAGUUGUAAAACUCCAAAACCCACUGUGAACAUACCUACCGGUUGCUUCGGCAGGCGGUCCCAGGGCGGGACCAUUGCCUAUCUCAGGCGCCUGCCGGAGGAUUACUACUCCAUACCAUACCUGUCGUUCUGAGCUCGUUAAAAAAAAUAAGUCAAAACUUUCAACAACGGAUCUCUUGGUUCUGGCAUCGAUGAAGAACGCAGCGAAAUGCGAUAAGUAAUGUGUAUUGCAGAAUUCAGUGAAUCAUCGAAUCUUUGAACGCACAUUGCGCCCGCUAGUAUUCUGGCGGGCAUGCCUGUUCGAGCGUCAUUACAACCCUCAAGCCCAGCUUGGUGUUGGGGACCUAUGGUCACCAUAGGCCCUGGAAAUCAGUGGCGGGCUCGCUAAUGCCCCGAGCGUAGUAGAAUCUCUCGCUCAGGGCGUAUGGCGGGUUCCAGCCGUCAAAACCCCACUAUUUAUAAAAGGUUGACCUCGGAUCAGGUAGGAAUACCCGCUGAACUUAAGCAUAUCAAUAAGCGGAGGAA